Long non-coding RNA from Scophthalmus maximus (turbot), 1863 nucleotides. The record is from Ensembl. NCBI's taxonomy places the organism in Eukaryota, Metazoa, Chordata, Actinopteri, Pleuronectiformes, Scophthalmidae.
CCCCAGUAUUUAACAGAAAAUAUUUUACCCAUAAAUACAGCUGUUUUCAUUGUUUUUUUUUAUUAAACCGAACAUGGUCAACUUCACAAUUCAUAGAAAUUUAUAGGUAUCUCAGGGAAAUUCUUGCAGCCAUACUGUGCUAUUGUGUUGAUUACUUGGUUUUCCCAAUGUUUAUUUGCAGCAAAUAACUGAGAACUGUUUUCCCUACAGAGGAGCCAUCUGCGAUUGGCUGCAAGCACCCAACCUUCUCAGGUGCAGACGAUGUCUGGCCCACCACGUCACAGUCAGUACUCUCCCGGACUGUGCACAGUAGUGGCAGGAGGUGGGAGGUGUCAUGGUUGCCUGCUGAAAGAGAAGGACUACAUUGCCCAUGAUCAUCAGGUAAGGCUCCCUUUUAGCUGGCAGUUCAUAUAGCUUCAUCUCCUCUGAUUUGAGUCUCACAAAUUUCUUUCAUCCACAAAUAUGCUGCACUCUGCCUACACAUAUAUACUAUAUUGUAUUUGUGUUCAUACGUAACGCAAAUGUACAUACAGGUAAAUGCGGUAUAAUAUGUAGAAACAAGCACCAUUGUUCAGUAAGUAGGUUACACAGGUAGAGGUGUAGGACGAGAUGUGUCAAAAGAGAGUGAGUAAGACCGGAGUAGGAGUUAAACAGAGGGAGUGCAUUAUGUACACACUGAUUCAUGAAGGUAGAGGUUUUUAAAAGUAUGGGUGUGAGAGGAGCACGGGUUUUUCUGACAUCCUUAUCUCACUAAUCAACUUGAAUUGUGUGUGUGUGUGUGUGUGUGUGUGUGUGUGUGUGUGUGUGUGUGUGUGUGUGUGUGUGUGUGUGUGUGUGUGUGUGUGUGUGUGUGUGUGUGUGUGUGUGUGUGUGUGUGUGUGUGUGUGUGUGUGUGUGUGUGUGUGUGUGUGUGUGUGUGUAGAGUUGUGUGUAGAGUUGUGUGUUGUGUAAGUCCUCAAGGAGUUGUGUACUUUCAAGGCCUCCGGGUCAGACAUCAACCUUUCAACCGCUCGCUUUUCAAAGCCACAUUAGAGUAAAAAAAGGUCAAUGAUUUGUUUGCACUCUCUGUUUGCAACCAGUGUUCACCAAUUACUCUGACUGUUUUUGUGCGUGGGUUAGUGUUAGAUUUCCCCAUUUACUUAACAGAGUAAUAGAUGCCACAAUCAUCCAUGUUAGUUUAGAUGAGCAUGUAAUUCACAAAUAACUGUUACUGUUUUAGUCAAAUUAGCUUAUCAUGCUUUCACCUUUGAAGAGGAAAAUUGAUCAAUUAGAAAAUCUCCUGAAAACAUGAUGUACUCAUAAGAACCAUCCAAGCUUUUUAAGCCCCUCUAAGCUGGGUUUACUUUCACUGUAUAACUUUGGGAUAGCUAGCAUUUUAAACAGGACUGGGGUACUAAGCUUAUCAUAGAGCUACAGUCAGGAUUAGGCAGUUGUUUGAGGAACUAGAGGGAAAGCUGGGUUCCCUAUUGGCCCUCUUCUCCUUGAAUAAGGGCCCUAAUUAUCAGGGCUGUAGCAGACCAUUCAGCCGGCGACAUGGCUGCUAUAUGUGGGUGUGCUAAGCCAGUCUGUCUGACUGUGUGGUUCACUGUCUCCUCGUGGUGUGACACUGUGUGAGUAUGUGCGUGGAGGUGACUAUUAUCAUGUCUCACGGUCUCUCAGUGUACCCAAAAGGCUGACUCACGGUAUGCCACGCACACACACACACACACACACACACACACACACACACACACCCACGCACACAAUCCUACAUAUUACAGGCUGAGAAGCACCAUCUGUACCAGGAAUACAGUCUCCUACAAGUGCAGAACACACACACAUCUUAUUUCCUCUACUGUUGCUCUGUCUGGACCUCAUCAGUAU